CAGCCGCCGCGGGAACACGUAGGGUGCAAGCGUUAAUCGGAAUUACUGGGCGUAAAGCGUGCGCAGGCGGUUAUAUAAGACAGAUGUGAAAUCCCCGGGCUCAACCUGGGAACUGCAUUUGUGACUGUAUAGCUAGAGUACGGCAGAGGGGGAUGGAAUUCCGCGUGUAGCAGUGAAAUGCGUAGAUAUGCGGAGGAACACCGAUGGCGAAGGCAAUCCCCUGGGCCUGUACUGACGCUCAUGCACGAAAGCGUGGGGAGCAAACAGGAUUAGAUACCCCCGUAGUCCCUGUCUCUUAUAC
Molecule: ribosomal RNA, 301 nt
Filed under: uncultured bacterium
Lineage: Bacteria
Description: partial 16S ribosomal RNA
Rfam family: Bacterial small subunit ribosomal RNA
Source: RNAcentral